GACUCUGGGAUAAGCCCGGGAAACUGGGUCUAAUACCGGAUAUUCACUUCCUUCCGCAUGGAGGGUGGUGGAAAGAUUUAUCGGUGGGGGAUGGACUCGCGGCCUAUCAGCUUGUUGGUGGGGUAAUGGCCUACCAAGGCGACGACGGGUAGCCGGCCUGAGAGGGUGACCGGCCACACUGGGACUGAGACACGGCCCAGACUCCUACGGGAGGCAGCAGUGGGGAAUAUUGCACAAUGGGCGAAAGCCUGAUGCAGCGACGCCGCGUGAGGGAUGACGGCCUUCGGGUUGUAAACCUCUUUCAGUAGGGAAGAAGCGAAAGUGACGGUACCUGCAGAAGAAGCGCCGGCUAACUACGUGCCAGCAGCCGCGGUAAUACGUAGGGCGCAAGCGUUAUCCGGAAUUAUUGGGCGUAAAGAGCUCGUAGGCGGUUUGUCGCGUCUGCCGUGAAAGUCCGGGGCUCAACCCCGGAUCUGCGGUGGGUACGGGCAGACUAGAGUGAUGUAGGGGAGACUGGAAUUCCUGGUGUAGCGGUGAAAUGCGCAGAUAUCAGGA
Molecule: ribosomal RNA, 555 nt
Filed under: Arthrobacter sp. WH009003s
Lineage: Bacteria; Bacillati; Actinomycetota; Actinomycetes; Micrococcales; Micrococcaceae
Description: bacterial SSU rRNA
Rfam family: Bacterial small subunit ribosomal RNA
Source: RNAcentral